Molecule: long non-coding RNA, 990 nt
Organism: Astatotilapia calliptera (eastern happy)
Lineage: Eukaryota; Metazoa; Chordata; Actinopteri; Cichliformes; Cichlidae
Source: Ensembl
AAGACAUGCUGUGGAAGAGAGCCAUUAACAGAUUGUGAGGAAGAAAGGUGACUGAAGAAGGAGUACUUAAUGCAUCAUGGGAAUCCCCCAGCAGCCUACACCUAUUGCAGCAUAACUAGCUAAAUACGCUAUCUCACAAAACUUCCUCAUCACACCACUGUUCCACACUAUAACUGAACUCGCCUUUCGGAUACUGGUCACAGCUCUCACUGGAUUCACGCUCCAAUCUCCAGGAAGGAAAUCCUCACCACGCUCACCAACAUCCCCUCCUGCCACCAUAGUUCACAGGGAGCCCUAAUAUUUAGUGUGACCUCUAGAUUACCACGCCACCAGCGACACCCUGAGCUCCACAUUCUUAGGCCACCAUGCUAGGUUACCUUACCAUGAAUCCCUUGUGAAGUAUAGCUCUGUGUUUUCUUGUAUCAAAUGAAGUUUUGUGUCAAUUUAACUCUGCCAUGUCCGCACUUGGUUCAGCACUAAAAGUUUCAGACUAGUUUCAGUAAUUGUGCAAAUGUACUGUUUAAAAGGUUGGGAAACCUGCAGUCAGAGGAGACUGAGACUAUGACCCCCACUAUGACCCUCCCCCCCGCCUAAUCCAAUGCUCCAGAUGGAAAAUCCCCAGACACUCACUUGGCUCAUGACAAACCUAGUUGCUAUUUGUUCUAACAAAUGAGAAAACUAUGCAAUAGUGAUCAGAGAUACAAUCUACAACAUUUGCAAUGGUGACAUUGAGACUUCUGGAAAAUAAAAAUAUCAAAUGUAUGAUAUUUUGUAUGUAUGGGUCCAUUCACAUUGUUGUUUAAAAUCACAUGAUGAACUGUUUCACGUCAGAGUUGCUGCUUUUUUUGUGUACCAUGCCAGUCACUUGGUUCCAGGACAAUUUACAAUUAUACACAGUGUCUUAUAGUUUUACAAACUACAGUAGUUGUAGUCAUCAAACUCGUAAAGCACUUUGUACACAAAUGCUACCUGCCCUUGAAAAUGUAUGUG